GGCGCCGCCGGUGCGGGCGUUCAGGCGCUCGCGCUUGAUACGGGCGCGGUACUCGGUAACCUCGCGGGCGCGGGCCUCGUUCGGCACCAC
RNAcentral lists this transfer RNA (90 nucleotides) under Methylorubrum thiocyanatum. RNAcentral describes it as "tRNA-Ile". Lineage: Bacteria; Pseudomonadati; Pseudomonadota; Alphaproteobacteria; Hyphomicrobiales; Methylobacteriaceae. The record is from RNAcentral.